AAUUGGACUUCUAAUUACAUGAGGACUCAAUUCAAAUUUAAAUUUUCUAAUUGACCAAACAAAGGCCUUGACACCUAAGCCUAAACACCUAGGAAUCCAUUCCAUAUGGCGUGUGGAUUGAAACUCAUUAAAGGAGUUCAGCCGCGUGCCAUGAAUUAGACUAGGUGAACCCACUCCAUGCCGCAUGGGAUCAAGUCCAAUGACCUUAGACUCUUUUCCUUUUGACAUGUGACCACUUCUAAUUAGCCAUGGACCCAUUCACGCCUUGGACUCAAUCUAAUUGGCGUUGAAGAGGCUAACCCAUUGUGAAGCAAAUCACUUAUUAUAUGGACUCAAUCUAAUUUCAUCUUGGACUCAACUUUGCUUGGACUCAAAUUCUUUUCACCCCUCACC
Molecule: long non-coding RNA, 393 nt
Filed under: Phoenix dactylifera (date palm)
Lineage: Eukaryota; Viridiplantae; Streptophyta; Magnoliopsida; Arecales; Arecaceae
Description: long non-coding RNA (PDAC_LNC014797)
Source: RNAcentral